UAGUAAUCGUGGAUCAGCAUGCCACGGUGAAUACGUUCCCGGGUCUUGUACACACCGCCCGUCACACCAUGGGAGCCGGUAACACCCGAAGUCAGUAGUCUAACCGCAAGGAGGACGCUGCCGAAGGUGGGAUUGACGACUGGGGUGAAGUCGUAACAAGGUACC
This 165-nucleotide ribosomal RNA is filed under the name uncultured bacterium. RNAcentral's name for it is "partial 16S ribosomal RNA". It matches the Rfam family "Bacterial small subunit ribosomal RNA", at positions 1336 to 1500 of the family's 1533-position model. The record is from RNAcentral.